This 333-nucleotide ribosomal RNA is filed under the name uncultured Cortinarius. RNAcentral describes it as "eukaryotic LSU rRNA". The stretch from base 1 to 70 matches the Rfam family "5.8S ribosomal RNA", at positions 85 to 154 of the family's 154-position model. Lineage: Eukaryota; Fungi; Basidiomycota; Agaricomycetes; Agaricales; Cortinariaceae. The record is from RNAcentral.
GUGAUCAUCGAAUCUUUGAACGCACCUUGCGCUCCUUGGUAUUCCUUGGAGCAUGCCUGUUUGAGUGUCAUUAAUAUAUCAACCUCUUCAAUCUUUGGCUUGUUGAGUGUUGGAUGUGGGUUUGCUGGUUUCUCUCUUGAGGUCAGCUCCCCUGAAAUGCAUUAGCUGAACAAUUUGUGGACCUUGUUCAUUGGUGUGAUAAUUAUCUACGCUACUGACAACAAAGCAAGCUCAGCUUCUAACAGUCCAUUGACUUGGACAAUGUUUAUAUCAAAUGUGACCUCAAAUCAGGUAGGACUACCCGCUGAACUUAAGCAUAUCAAUAAGCGGAGG